RNAcentral lists this ribosomal RNA (492 nucleotides) under uncultured bacterium. RNAcentral's name for it is "partial 16S ribosomal RNA". It matches the Rfam family "Bacterial small subunit ribosomal RNA", at positions 29 to 507 of the family's 1533-position model. The record is from RNAcentral.
AGUGAACGCUGGCGGUAGGCCUAACACAUGCAAGUCGAACGGCAGCACAGUAAGAGCUUGCUCUUACGGGUGGCGAGUAGCGGACGGGUGAGGAAUACAUCGGAAUCUACCUUUUCGUGGGGGAUAACGUAGGGAAACUUACGCUAAUACCGCAUACGACCUACGGGUGAAAGCAGGGGAUCUUCGGACCUUGCGCGAUUGAAUGAGCCGAUGUCGGAUUAGCUAGUUGGCGGGGUAAAGGCCCACCAAGGCGACGAUCCGUAGCUGGUCUGAGAGGAUGAUCAGCCACACUGGAACUGAGACACGGUCCAGACUCCUACGGGAGGCAGCAGUGGGGAAUAUUGGACAAUGGGCGCAAGCCUGAUCCAGCCAUACCGCGUGGGUGAAGAAGGCCUUCGGGUUGUAAAGCCCUUUUGUUGGGAAAGAAAAGCAGCAGGUUAAUACCCCGCUGUUCUGACGGUACCCAAAGAAUAAGCACCGGCUAACUUCGUG